AAAGUAGUGCUAGUGUGGAAUGUAAAUAAAAGUAGUGCGAGCGCGGAAAGUAAAUAAAAGUAGUGCGAGUGCGAGAAAUAAAUAAAGUAGUGCGAGUGCGAGAAAUAAAUAAAGUAAAACGAGUGCGGGAAAUAAAUAAAGUAAAACGAGUGCGGGAAAUAAAUAAAAUAAAGCGAGUGCGGGAAAUAAAUAAAGUAAAGCGAGUGCGAGAAAUAAAUAAAGUAAAGCGAGUGCGGGAAAUAAAUAAAGUAAAGCGGGUGCGGGAAAUAAAUAAAGUAAAGACAGUUCGGGAAAAUAAAAUAGAUAAAGGCAAGCAAUAAAAACCUACUCCAAUCGGAGGGUUGAAUAAAAUGCAAAGCGGAAAUGAAAAUGGCGGCAAGAUUAACUUCCUUCCAAAGUGCUCCAAAUUCGAUUACAGACUCGAUCACAAACUUGAUUUCACAAUUGUGGUAACACCUCGAUGUGAA
This 467-nucleotide long non-coding RNA is filed under the name Lathyrus oleraceus (garden pea). RNAcentral describes it as "Pisum sativum (pea) long non-coding RNA (PSAT_LNC026804)". Lineage: Eukaryota; Viridiplantae; Streptophyta; Magnoliopsida; Fabales; Fabaceae. The record is from RNAcentral.